Molecule: ribosomal RNA, 497 nt
Filed under: uncultured bacterium
Lineage: Bacteria
Description: partial 16S ribosomal RNA
Rfam family: Bacterial small subunit ribosomal RNA
Source: RNAcentral
AUUGAACGCUGGCGGCAUGCCUAAUACAUGCAAGUCGAACGGAAACAGGAAGAAGUUUGCCUUUUUGCUGACGCGUGGCGCGCGUGUGUGAAACGUCGGGGAACUACCCUUAUGGAGGGGAUUACCUACUGGAACCGGUAGCUAAUACGGCUUAUAGUCUCAACAGCAAAGAGGGAGACCUUCGGGCCUCUUGCCAUUGACUGUGCCAAGGUGCGAUACGGCAUUAGCUAGGUGGUCGGGUAACGGCUUACCAAGGCGACGAUUCGUAGCCGAGCUGAGAGGAUGAUCAGCCACACUGGAACUGAGACACGGUCCAGACUCCUACGGGAGGCAGCAGUAGGGAAUAUUGCGCAAUGGGCGCAAGCCUGACGGAGCAACGCCGCGUGUAUGAUGAAGGUCUUCGGGUUGUAAAACACUUUUAUUAGGGAGGAACAAAUUAAAAUGAAUACCUGUGCGCAUUGACGUUACCUGCACAGGAAGCACCGGCUAACUCCGUG